RNAcentral lists this non-coding RNA (29 nucleotides) under Mus musculus (house mouse). The record is from RNAcentral. Lineage: Eukaryota; Metazoa; Chordata; Mammalia; Rodentia; Muridae.
UCCCAGUGACUGAAUCUUCGCCCAUUGGA